UACAGAGGUCUCAAGCGUUGUUCGGAUUCAUUGGGCGUAAAGGGUGUGUAGGUGGCGCGCUAAGUCGGGUGUGAAAUUUCGGAGCUUAACUCCGAAACUGCAUUCGAUACUGGCGUGCUUGAGGACUGGAGAGGAGACUGGAAUUCAUGGUGUAGCGGUGAAAUGCGUAGAUAUCUGGAGGAACACCGGUGGCGAAGGCGGCAUCCUGGACCAAUACUGACACUGAGGAGCGAAAGCCAGGGGAGCAAACGGG
This 253-nucleotide ribosomal RNA is filed under the name uncultured bacterium. RNAcentral's name for it is "partial 16S ribosomal RNA". It matches the Rfam family "Bacterial small subunit ribosomal RNA", at positions 524 to 776 of the family's 1533-position model. The record is from RNAcentral.